AUACGUGAUAAUCUAAGCAAUGCUUCAGCUGUCAGAAAGGAAUAUUCAUCUCAACCGCACCUAUAGAUUAGAUUUAUUGACAGAGGUGGAAAAAAAGGAAAUACAUAGGUUGUUGUUAUUUUGCUCAAAUUUCAGUAACUAACGUUUAGCAACUUAUGCAGCUGCUGCUGCUUUCUUGAGAGCAAAGAGAAUAAAGAGUUAUUGAGAAGCGGGACCAAUACUUGCAGCCUUAUUAAGUAGGUGAACCUCAGAUCUAAAGAGCUUUAAGCAACUAAACAAAUUGAAAAACAGAAUACUGAAAGCAUGACUUUUAAGAAACGAUUUGCCUGUGGAGUAUCAAUUGAGCGAUUUGAUUGCUUGAGAUUAGAAUAAAUGCAUUAGAAAUAAUCCUUUCUUUUUUAAAAGGAUAAAGAAAUCUGUCAAAGGAUUUCUCUUGAAAGAGGGAGGAUUGAUUACACAUUUUGUUAAUAAUAAAGUCCUAUUUGUUCGUUUGUUGACUUGCAGUGCUUCUACAGGACACGAAUCACGAGAAACAUUUUAAAGUGAGGUUUGAAAUUGUUGGGGAGACAGGUCUAUUCUUUACGGGUAUUAUUCUAUUCAUUUGUCUGAGCCAAUGAGAGAGUGCAUCCUUCGGGCACGCGCAUUAAGGCGAAGGUAAAAUCUACAUUUUAUGGCCGUUUAAAGCACUUAAUUAAAACUAAUGUAUAUCAUAAUUGCAUCAUUAAAACACCAAAGUUUCAUCCCCAAUUUUCUCUUGAAUUUCAUUUUUCACUAAAUUUUCUUCAUCUUUUAUAUUUGAGAUUGGCUUAUUCCUAUAAGUGUCACCAAUGUUUCUACCACAUGUAAUAUUGUGCAACGUGAAAACAAUGACUUUGAAUUUAACUGCGCAUGUGCAUAUGCGGCAAGAUUUUGAAAAGCCAACAAAUGUUGGUUCGUCGCACCAUAGAAAAAAAACAAAAUGACAAUCAACAAUUGCAAAGAGGAUAAGGGAGACUGGAAAAAUUGCGAAAGAACUCUUUUGUAGCAGUGUGCGGCCUUAACAAAUGCUUAGGCACAAAUUUACUUGGCCAAGCAGUGAAAUUGCUGCAGUUGUUGAAUAAAAUCAUUCACAUUUCUUCACAUACGAGUCGAUAGUUCUUGGGUUCAAAUUUCUUGUUCCCUGAAAGACGAUUGUAUUUGCAAGAUUCGAUGAUAGCCAGUUUUUUACAAUUCAUAUCCAUAAAACACCUCAAAACCUUUUCAUAUGAGAAAAGAUUGAUUUAUCUUGAAAAUUUCCUUAUUAUUAAGCGUCAUAGACUGUAUUGAGUAAUUAUAAAUGACCAGCAAAACCAAACUUAUUAAACGUUUCAAUGUUAGCUAGAGGUUUAGAAUUGCAAUGACCUUUCAACUACGUUUGAAACGCACAGGAUAAUAGGGUCUUUAUGCUAGAUUUUUAAAAGCAUACAAAGCAAAGUUUCAAGCUUUGGAGGGUCAUAUUGGCCAUUAGACAUAUGUCUCUCCUAGUUUCUAACGUUACCCAGAAUAUUAAUGAGCAAAUAUCAUUUGUUCAGUGUUGAUUGAAUUCAUUGCACCUGUGAUUAAUGUCUUUAUUUGGCGGGAGUGGGCAACCUACAACCUACAAUCUGGCCCGGGAGGAGAAAUUUUGUUGCCCGUGAGAUGAGGAAAUCAUAUUACAAUUUUUUUGGUUGGCAAGGAUGAUUUCAAGGCGCAUGUGAAUUUCAAGUCGAGGGGUUGGGUAAAAAAUUCUACAGGUCGAGAGAAUGUGUAAAAAAGAAAUAUCAUAAUCAAUUCGCCCGAAAAUCAGAUGAAAGAUGGAAAAUGCUGAAAAUAAAGAGAACAGGGCUGGCAAUGCGAUGAGCAAGAUUCUGCGAGAGUUAAGGAUGCUUGGAAUAAGAACUCCCUGAAAGUAAAUCAAUUGAUGACCUUUAACCUACAAAAUUGUCAAUCAGCUUUGUCCUGAAAGCAUACAAAAUAGGUUCAUAAAAAGGUCCGUCAUAACUUAGAACAUACAAAAAACUAAAGACUAAACUUAGAACAUACAAAAAAAGUUUCUGGUACACAGGUCCAAAAGAUUGAAAUAGUAUCCCCCAAUCUAUUAGAGAUACCAAAUCCAUUUUAUAAUUCAAACAAAAGCUUCAAAAUCACCUUUUGAGCUAACAGACACUAGAUGUAUGAAUCCAUGGAAAAUCAGUUUUUAGAUUAAUUCUAAUGAUGUUCUUAGGGCAUGUACUUUUGGCAUGUAUAAUUAGAUAGAAAUUGUAACUUUUUAUCGCAAUUUACUUUUAUAGAACUGAAUGGUUAUUGUGGAUGAAUAUGAUCAAAUGAAAAAAUGAAGCAAGAUGUGCUAUGAGCAAGAGAAUGAAAAUUAAAGCAAGACAUUGUACAAGAUAUGAUACAGGUUUCAGGUAAUUUUGGUAUGGAAAAGGUUAAAGAGCUGACACAAUAAAAUAAAUAGUAACGAUUCUUUUCCA
Molecule: non-coding RNA, 2471 nt
Organism: Rhopilema esculentum
Lineage: Eukaryota; Metazoa; Cnidaria; Scyphozoa; Rhizostomeae; Rhizostomatidae
Source: RefSeq, a predicted model, not a curated record